RNAcentral lists this ribosomal RNA (253 nucleotides) under uncultured bacterium. RNAcentral's name for it is "partial 16S ribosomal RNA". It matches the Rfam family "Bacterial small subunit ribosomal RNA", at positions 524 to 776 of the family's 1533-position model. The record is from RNAcentral.
UACGAAGGGGGCUAGCGUUGUUCGGAUUUACUGGGCGUAAAGCGCACGUAGGCGGAUCGAUCAGUCAGGGGUGAAAUCCCAGAGCUCAACUCUGGAACUGCCUUUGAUACUGUCGAUCUGGAGUAUGGAAGAGGUGAGUGGAAUUCCGAGUGUAGAGGUGAAAUUCGUAGAUAUUCGGAGGAACACCAGUGGCGUAGGCGGCUCACUGGUCCAUUACUGACGCUGAGGUGCGAAAGCGUGGGGAGCAAACAGG